GACGAACGCUGGCGGCGUGCUUAACACAUGCAAGUCGAACGGAAAGGCCCUGCUUGCAGGGUACUCGAGUGGCGAACGGGUGAGUAACACGUGGGUGAUCUGCCCUGCACUUCGGGAUAAGCCUGGGAAACUGGGUCUAAUACCGGAUAGGAGCCAUUUUUAGUGUGAUGGUUGGAAAGUUUUUUCGGUGUAGGAUGAGCUCGCGGCCUAUCAGCUUGUUGGUGGGGUAAUGGCCUACCAAGGCGGCGACGGGUAGCCGGCCUGAGAGGGUGGACGGCCACAUUGGGACUGAGAUACGGCCCAGACUCCUACGGGAGGCAGCAGGGGGGAAAAUUGCACAAUGGGCGCAAGCCGGAUGCAGCGACGCCGCGUGGGGGAUGACGGCCUUCGGGUUGUAAACUCCUUUCGCUAGGGACGAAGCUUUUUGUGACGGUACCUAGAUAAGAAGCACCGGCUAACUACGUG
RNAcentral lists this ribosomal RNA (465 nucleotides) under uncultured bacterium. Its description in RNAcentral is "partial 16S ribosomal RNA". It matches the Rfam family "Bacterial small subunit ribosomal RNA", at positions 28 to 507 of the family's 1533-position model. The record is from RNAcentral.